GGCUAAUCACCCAAGGAGAGGGCCUUCAUUCCUUGCUUCUUAGCUCCAUCGAUUUCUAGGCUGAGGAUGGUUGAAAGGAUUCUCCAAGUUCCCAAAGUUGAGAACCUCUAAGUCUCCACACCAAGGUAGGACUUGAAGAAGAGAUGAGUGAUGAUAGGAGCAUAUUUAUGCGACUUAAUUAGCUUGUUUCCUUGCAUUUACGUUGCUAGUACUUAGUAAUUUUAGUAUUUUAAGCUAUUUUCGUGCAAUUUCAGGUUCUAAGGAUAAAGUAUGCAAAAAGAUGCAUUUUGGAGCCUUUUGGAGCAGUUUUGGGCAUAAAUUGAAUAGCUUAUGCUUGGAGUAAUAUUGAUUGACGAAAUUGAAGGCCUAAAGGAUAUUAGAAGUCAGUUUGGAAACUUAGAAGACACAAUUUCAGCACCUCCUACAAAGGUGGCGCCUUGUCCCCUUUGUGUUUCCUUCUUGUCUCCUCUUGUGCAACAAUUUCCCUUGCCAUGUUUCCCUAAUUUCUGAACCAAAAACACCUUUCCCUUUCUCCCUUGUCCCUUGCCGCACCAUACAUCCUCUUUCCCUUUUAAUUUCCGACCUUAAGUACCUUUCCUAUAUUGUGCCACAUCUUUGUUACCUAUUUCUCUUUAAUUUCUGAUUCUUUCUUACCUAUUUCUGACCCAAAAUUACAUUCCCAUUUGUUUCAAUUCUUGCUACACGAGGGGAGAGGAUUCUUACCUAUUUUGUGCCUCAAAACACAUUCCUAAAUCUGUCCUACACUCUUUUCCGAAUUUCCUUUCCUAUUCUCUUUAAAUUUCUGCACCUUUCUUGCCUAUUUCCCAUUGAUUUCUGAUUCCAAAUCUAAUAAAUUCGUAGCCCUUCCUUCACCUAUAAAUCAAACUCCUUUCUGACAAUUCUAAGCACUCCACCCUUCACCAUAACCAACCUAUAUCCAUCCACCACCACAAAUCACCACAAAAACCUUCAACCACCCCUUGUGCCGCAGCAAAGAAGAAGGAAAGAGACCCUUGGAUGUGCUUGCCAUUCAAGACGUUGGAUUGUUGGAGCGUUUCUAGGUGUUUUCAUUAUUUGUUUUCAAUGUCUAAAUUUAUGUAUCUUUGUUUUGCGUUUAUGAGGAACUAAGCCCUUCUUGGCUAGGGGGCUAUUCAAUACCAUGAUUAUACUUGCAUUAUGAAUUGAUUACCUUUAGUUGUUAUUUCAUAAGUUGUGAAUUCAAUUUGCUUAACCAUUUGAUUGAUAACUUAUUCUUUUAUGUUUAUUAAGAGUGCACACUUAGUUUUCUGCAAGGAUUUGAAGCUAAAAUAUAAGGGAGUUUCACCUAAUAGUUACAAACUUAUAUUUGCAAGUAGUGGAGGUCACUUAUAAAUGAUCGUGUUAAGUGAAUUCUUGGCAAAAGUUUCAUGCUUUUCAUAGUUACAAUUGCCUUGUCAAUGCUUAUAGU
This 1447-nucleotide long non-coding RNA is filed under the name Malus domestica (apple). RNAcentral describes it as "long non-coding RNA (MDOM_LNC005774)". The record is from RNAcentral. Lineage: Eukaryota; Viridiplantae; Streptophyta; Magnoliopsida; Rosales; Rosaceae.